Molecule: transfer RNA, 53 nt
Filed under: Histiostoma feroniarum
Lineage: Eukaryota; Metazoa; Arthropoda; Arachnida; Sarcoptiformes; Histiostomatidae
Description: tRNA-Asp
Source: RNAcentral
UAAGUAUCAGUUUUAGAAACGUAACCUUGUCGAGGUUAAGAUUUAUUACUUAA